Long non-coding RNA from Equus quagga, 4772 nucleotides. RefSeq lists it as uncharacterized. The record is from RefSeq and is a predicted model, not a curated record. Lineage: Eukaryota; Metazoa; Chordata; Mammalia; Perissodactyla; Equidae. The transcript has 3 exons.
UUUCCAAACGACAGGUUUAACAGAUGAUAAAACUUGUCUUGUGGUUACCCUGGGCUGCCAAGAGCCCCAGGCAGAGUACAGGGGUGGGGCCGUCCACGGCGGACAGUCAACGCCACCUGAAUGCCAGCAUUCUUUGCUAAGCGCUCCCUCUGAAGGCUUCUCUUGGGCCCCGUGCCAAGCACUCGGGACCCAGACAAAUAGCCUGGGUGGGUGUUUGUGCACAAAGAUGGUUGAGGUUUGCUGGAGCCCAAUGGAGAAAUCCUUUGAAAUUGUGCUCCGGGGGAGAGAGGGCAGCUAAGAUCACAGGGAACUAUUUGUUCAAAAGCCCAAGGAGAGGACCCACUCACAACCAAAACCCCAAAUGGCCACAAGGACGCAGGCCUCCUCAGCGCUGGGGAGCUGCGUCCUGCCUUUUCCAGAGAGUAGGAUGGAUGCUUCUGGAAUGAUGCCUCUGACAGCAGCCGCAGUGUACCGACUGGCUCCUUCGUGCUCAGUGUUUUAUAUGCUGUCUUUUUAAUAUUUACUGCCCACUUUGCAGAUGAGGAAACUGAGUCACAGAUGAAGUAAAUGCUCUAACCUCAGCUCCAUCUAACCUGGAAGCGAAUGUUUCUCCACCGCCGUGUUCUGACUCAGAGCCUGACUCAAAGCACGUGUCUUCAUUGUUAAAAGGACUGAAUCAGCCUCGGGGAGGGAAGGGCAAGAGAACACGCUCUAGGAUUCGGGGCUCUUUGUCGGUUGGUGUCUGUCUGACGGCCCCACCCUGGGGGCCGCGUGGGGAGCGGCUGUGCUGUGAGAUCGAAGGGCACCCCACAUGUCCUCGAGACCACAACCAGCGCCAGAAACUCAUUUUGUUUCCUGGCCAAGAGCCUGGGUGGUCAUUGUACCCCAUUCUGACCUCAGGAAAGAGUGAGCAGAGCGAAGGAGGGCCCCGUUGGAGGCCAAGUGCUGUUCUCAAGAUCUGUGAUCUGCUCUCUCUCUUCAUUAUUGUCCCCACCCAGGGGUGAGGUAGCUGUCGUCAUCUCCAGGUUACAGGGGACCCACAGGGGCCAGGAGCCCAGUCUGAUCUAACGUGACACAGCUGAAACAAAGCCCUAAAAUCACUGGAGAAAAUAUCUUCUUGGCGUUUCUCCAGUUUGCAGUGUAAGAACCGCCACCUUUCCAAGGGUUUUCCUGGGCUGUGGACACUGCGUACAGGAGCAUCCACUCCAAGGGCCCACAAGGUAGGCGCCAUUGGCCCACCUUAUGCACAGGUGAGCUGGGGUCGGGAGUGGGAGCCCUGGCCUGGGACCUGGCAGGGCACUUGGCUGGGAAACGGACUCGAUGGCUUUGCCACUCCCGUCCCUCCCUUUGGAGACCAAGCGAGGAGGACCUGAGGGUGCCUCACGGCAAGCAGGUUUCUCCGCCUCAGCGCUGUGGACAUUUGGGGGCCAAUAAUGCUUGGCGUGAGGGGCUGUCCCAGGCAGUGGGGGGCAUUGAGCCACGUCCCUGGCCUCCAUUCCCUGGAUGCCAGUGGCAAACUCCCUACCUCCUGACCAAACAGUAGUGACGACAAAAAUGUCUCUACACGCUGCCAGAUGUCCCCCGAGGGGAGCAAAAUCUCCCCCCAAGCUGAGAACCACUGCCUGUCAGUCUUCUGUUUCCCUGAAAGAAAGGCUGUGAUGUUUUUCUCAAGGGCAUUGAGAAAUUCAGCAGAGAUCGUGCCCAGAAAGCACAUGGUACACAGAGCACGGUGCAACGAACGCUGGCCAGAUGUGGCGGGAUGAUUACUUUCAUCAUCAUCAUCAUCAUCAUCACCAUCAUCAGGGACUGGCCUGUUGUCGGUGGGAAAACAUCACCAGGAGCUGGUGACAGAGCCCUAGAGGCUGGGCAGUGGGUGCUCACAGGCCCAGUUCCAUGGCUGACUCACGAGACGCUUUGAACAAGUCUGUGGACCAUUGGGGAACUCAGUGCUUCCAUCACUAAAAUGGGCCGUCCAAAGGAAGCAGCCCUCAGGACCAUUUCACACCUACUGUUUUCAGAUUUCCUGGAUCCCAAGUUCUGGGACGAGUGGUCUUACACAGCACUGAAGCUCGUGGGCGCCGGGCUCCGUCCACCUGGGUUCAGACCGUGGCCUGAGAGCUUACCGGCUGGACAAGCUCAAGUAGGUCACUUGGUCUCUCCAUGAGUCUGUCUCCUCAUCUGCAGAACUCUGGGAUCCUCUCUGCCGCGUGUGCUUGUCACAGCAUGAACUGAGAUGACGUUAUAGUGCAAACACUAGAACACUGCCUGGCACUGCGAAUGGCCCCAUCAGGAUUCGUUAUCAUCAUCAGACACACGCUGGCAAUGUUUAAAGACGCAUGACCCUCAGCCCAGAUCACAGGCCCACGGAAUCAGAGCUUCCGAGACUGAAACCAUGUGGGCGUAUUUUUUUAAAUCUUCCCCCAAAUAAUUCUGAAGUAGUGGGUCCUUGGCCUGGCCUUUAGGAACCACUAUAAGUGAGAUGAAAUUCUCUGAUGUUAGGAAUGUUCUACUAAUGUUUCCAGUGCUGCUUUCCGUGAGGACCUGAGUGGUACAAAGAUGUAAAAGGUACUGUCUCUCUUCAAGGAGCCGCCAUCUAAACGGGUGAGACCAGCUCAUAAACCAAAUACGUAGCCCCAGUGGCCUCCGUGGCAGGGGCCACAAAGAAGUUUGGGAUGUGUGCUGAGAGAUGACAGAGGAAAGAAGCUGACCCGCAGGCCCACCAAGUAAGGUUGCGGAGGUUGUUGACAGCACAAAAGUGCCCAAAGGGGUGAGAUUUUCUGAUUCACAUAAAAGUGCCAUAGGGCCAGUGGAAGGCCUGGAGGUCAUCGUUCACCCAGGAUUCCCUAGAAGCUCUGACUUAUCCAUAAGUGCCAGCUCAGCUGUCCCUUUCUCUGGAGAGCCUUCUCCAAGACCCUACAAUGGAAUUGACCACUGUGGAUGAAUAAUUAGAUAAAUAAACAAAUGAAUUCCAACUAAGUAAAAGGGAGUUAGCGAGCAUCGGUGGACAGACACUGCGCCGCCCAUCAAGAGCACGGGGUACUCGCUAAGGCGCCUUCUUGAAGGAGGAGGAGAUGGUUCUUGAAGGAUGGACUUGGUCUUGCCAACGCGGUGCAGUGCACGUGAAGGGAGCAUUCUCCAGCAAUCUGAUGCACAGAAAAUGAGAUCAAAAAAGUGGAAGACACAGGGAGCCACUAAUGAAGAGCUCAAGAAAAGCGUGGUUUGAUGGCUGCCGAGGCAACACGCUCUUGGUUGGUAUGGAAUUACAACGUAAAUAUUUUCAUAGAAUCAACAGGAAAAUAAAAAGAUGCACGUUGGGGGAAAGUCAGUCCUUUGCUCUCUAGGGGGUGUGUCCUUGGUGACUCGGUUAUUCUGUCCACAGCUCCCCCUGGGCAUUGAGCAAAUGAAGGGCCAGAUACUCGGGUCCCACGUGCCUGGGAGACAGAGGAGCUCCAAGUGGCCAUGGGGACCUGAAUGCACAGAUUCACAGACCCAGCAGCCAAGCGCCCUUUGACCACAGCCUCCAAGAACUCGCUCCUGGCAGGACCCCGCAAGGGUGACAUGAGUUGCCCCUGACUUGGGCACACGAUGAUGGUACAUAAGGCUCAAGACCAGUUCAAUGCACCCGGCACCCUGAACAGCAACUUCACACCCAGCCUCGUUCUGGGGGCUACGGGAAAUGGGGACAACAGAUUUGCCCCUGGCCAAGCGGGACUCCCACUGCAGUGAGGGGAGGGGAGUAAUAUACAGAAGCUGCCAGCUCUCACGUGGACCCUCUCUGUGCCCUGCACCUCCCCUGCCUGUUUCUAAGGCUCAUCCCAGAUGCUCGCCCCAGAGACAGCUUCAGGGUUAGGAGCACCAAUGCUGCAGCUAGGCUGCCUGAGAGGGAAGCCCUGCUCUGCCAAGGCCAGCUGUGUGAGCCUGGGCAAGUGACACUGCCUCUCUGUGCCUUGGUCUCCCCAUCUGGAAAAGGCACACGGUGACAGUACCUUCCUCAUAGGUGAUGUGGGGAACCUUGGUCUGUAAGCUCUUAGAACGGGGUGUGCCCCCCAGCAAGCGCCAGACGAGGCUUUUUAUUAAUACAAGUUCAGAGGCAGUUGAGAUAGGACUGUCUGACUUCAAGUCACACAAUCUUCCCUCCCACCCUCACUGCCGGAUGUCUGCAGAUCACUCUGGAACAAGACCCUUGGAAGGGGGAAAACAGAGUCAAAUAGGACUCUUGGGGGCCUGGUGUCUGGGAGGGAGAGGUGGAGGAACAGGAGUGCUGGAAGUCCAUGGCUAUGGGUCCAUAUCCUGCCUCUGCCCCUCCCUGAGGAUCCCACCCUCCCGCCCGAGCCUCUGUACUCUGCGCCUCCGGCACUUUGCCUGUAAGACGGGGCGCGCUUCCACCCGCUCCUGGAGAAGUUUCCAUCAGCAAUAGUCAUGCAUCAGAUAAGGCUCCAGAACUGUGUUAUUAACCCAGCACCACGAGGCCACGAGAGCGUGUGGGGAGGGUUACGUGAGAGAAUAAACGUGUGUCUUCUGCCCGUGGCGGGCAUCGCCCGGCGGGUACGAGCUGAGGCUCUCAGCUGUGAAGGACUCAAAGUGGAGCGAGCCAGGACAGCUCCCUGGGGAAGCAGGGGUUUCAGAUGACGUGGAAAGAAGACAGACGGGACUUUGGACAGUCAGGGCUGAGGGACAGGGUCCUUCCAAGCAGAGGGGGCAGCUUGGGCAAUGACCCAAUGCUUUAGAGCAUCCUCAGAUGGUCGUAUUACUAACAGAGCGCUCUGCACAUG